RNAcentral lists this ribosomal RNA (405 nucleotides) under uncultured bacterium. Its description in RNAcentral is "partial 16S ribosomal RNA". It matches the Rfam family "Bacterial small subunit ribosomal RNA", at positions 28 to 526 of the family's 1533-position model. The record is from RNAcentral.
GAUGAACGCUGGCGGCGUGCCUAAUACAUGCAAGUCGAGCGAAGCGGGGACGGGUGAGUAACACGUGGAUAACCUCCUAUAAGACUGGGAUAACUUCGGGAAACCGGAGCUAAACCGGAUACUUAUCGAUGGCUCCGCGCUGCAUUAGCUAGUUGGUAAGGUAACGGCUUACCAAGGCAACGAUGCAUAGCCGACCUGAGAGUGUGAGCGGCCAAAUUGGAACGGAGACACGAGCCAGACGCCUACGGGCGGCAGCAGUAGGGAAUCUUCCGCAAUGGGCGAAAGCCUGACGGAGAAACGCCGCGUGAGUGAUGAAGGUUUUCGGAUCGUAAAACUCUGUUGUAAGAGAAGCGGUACCUAAUAAGAAAGCCACGGCUAACUACGUGCCAGCAGCCGAGGUAAUAA